CCUACGGGAGGCAGCAGUAGGGAAUUUUGCGCAAUGGGCGAAAGCCUGACGCAGCAACGCCGCGUGAUCGAGACGCCCUUCGGGGUGUAAAGAUCUGUCAGUGGGGACGAAAAUUGACGGUACCCACAGAGGAAGCCCCGGCUAACUCCGUGCCAGCAGCCGCGGUACUACGGGGGGUGCAAGCGUUGUCCGGAUUCAUUGGGCGUAAAGGGUUCGUAGGCGGCACGUAAAGUCUGGUGUUAAAGGCAGAGGCUCAACUACGGUACGGCACUGGAUACUUGCGAGCUAGAAUGCGGUAGAGGUAAAGGGAAUUCCUGGUGUAGCGGUGAAAUGCUUAGAUAUCAGGAGGAACAUCGGUGGCGUAGGCGCUUUACUGGGCCGUAAUUGACGCUGAGGAACGAAAGCCAGGGUAGCAAAUGGGAUUAGAUACCCUUGUAGUC
This 440-nucleotide ribosomal RNA is filed under the name uncultured bacterium. RNAcentral's name for it is "partial 16S ribosomal RNA". It matches the Rfam family "Bacterial small subunit ribosomal RNA", at positions 338 to 795 of the family's 1533-position model. The record is from RNAcentral.